Molecule: non-coding RNA, 1468 nt
Organism: Drosophila suzukii
Lineage: Eukaryota; Metazoa; Arthropoda; Insecta; Diptera; Drosophilidae
Source: RefSeq, a predicted model, not a curated record
GAGCUCCCUUUAUCCAGCUGGUAAGAACCACGGGAGUAUUUGAGCCAAGACCAUCUGCGUAAAGUUUGUGGGUGUACAAAACGUAAGGGCGCUCCUGUCAUUAAGAAUAGCGCCUUACACUGGACAAUGUUGAACUAUUUUGGUAGACACAUAUAAAAAAAUGAUAAGGAGUGCAAUGUGAAAGUCAGAAAGUCGGGUUUUCUUUCAGUGCCCCGGCUGUUUGCUUAAAUAUGGAUAAAGGCGCAUUAAUAUGUGCUUAAAAUAUUCAUUAAAAAUUUCGCCACCGCAAUAUUUAUUAAUAAUGAGACAAUUUUAUGAGACGUAUUACUUAAUUUGUGGUAUACCUUAACUUGAAUUGCAUUUUAUCAAAAAAUCUUAGUCUGCACACUCUGGUGGCCUGCAGAUUGACUGGAUAAGAGUGUUCCACAAAAGUACUGCAAUCAAGAGCUAUUUAUCGCCGUCUCUAAUUUUACCGACGUCAAAAUUUCAACAGCCUCCCACUGACAAACAAGCCCCCUUCCAUGCAUAGUGGUAUGCAGCUCGUAAAAACAUCGCAUCCUCAGGCGGCCCGGAAUGUGUGCGGCUUGCUCUAAAUCUAAAAAAAGUCCCGCCAAAGCCACUGCAGCUGUUGCUUGUGGGUGAAAGUGAAAACUUGAGGCACAUGUCGUUCGGCCGGAAGCGCAUGAAAAUCGAAAUAAAAUCCCAUCUACGUUUUUUAUGAGUUCCUAAAUUAUUUGAUCUCAGGACCAUUUAUGCAAAAACAUAACAUUCAAAUUUGUCCAUCAAAAAUUAUACUUUAAUUAUGAUUGAUUAUAAUUGAUACAUAAAUGUUAUACUAUAACAACAGUAAAUUAAAGUUUUUACAUUUAAUUUUUUUUUAAGUUUUUCUUUUUGAAAUUCUGAUCACUCGUUUAGUCCAAAUCGUGGCUAUCAUGGAAGUACAGUUUUCUUACGUUACUUUACAACUUUGUUGUACAGUUUUUGAAUUUUUUUUUCUACAUAAAAAAUGUUGGUAGGAAACCAUAAAAUAGACGGCCAGACCAUGGAGGAAACAAUUUGGUUUUUCUAAAAAAUAGACAACAAACGGUACAACACAAUUUUUUUUUAAAUAAUAAUUGAAUAUCGUAAAUAAAAAUCGAACAGCUAUGACAUGCCGAAGUUUAUAUGGGUGUACAUAUAUCCUAACAAUUAUUCCAGUCAAUUUCGAGUUUAUAUCAGUUGCAUAUUGCACCUAGUUUCCUAAACUUUUAUAUGAAAAAAGCUAUGUUAUUUUCAGUAAGUAAAUGCAGAAAUUCUUAUUUUACAUUUAAUUUAAAUUUUAAAAAAACAAUUCACUUUUUCGUGUCCAGUUCCGGUCACUAUCGUGGCUAUCAUGGAAGUACAGUUUUCUUACGUUACUUUACAACUUUGUUGUACAGUUUUUGAAUUUUUUUUUCUACAUAAAAAAUGUUGGUAGGAAACCAUAAAA